Molecule: non-coding RNA, 1395 nt
Organism: Cherax quadricarinatus
Lineage: Eukaryota; Metazoa; Arthropoda; Malacostraca; Decapoda; Parastacidae
Source: RefSeq, a predicted model, not a curated record
UCUUCGUGUUCAGCGAGCGACUGGCACACACGCAAAAAGCUCCUCACUCCGGCCUUCCACCUCAAGGUCCUGGAGCAGUUCGUGGACGUGUUCAACAUCCAGAGCAACAAACUCGUCAGCAAGCUGAAGAAGGAGGCUGACGGUUGUGUCUUCGAUAUCUUCCCCUACAUCACCAAUUGUACUCUGGACAUCAUCUGUGAGACAGCGAUGGGGUGUUUCAUCAACGGUCCCGGACAACCCUGAGUCAGACUACAUUAUGGCCAUCCACAGGAUAAGCCAUCUAAUACAGCAACGCAUGAGUCGUCCUGUGGAUGCAGCCAGACUUUAUAUUCCGACUACUUGGUACGCCCGGGAGCAAGAAGAGCUGUUUGAAGACAACUUGUCAUUCCUUCACCCGGACACGUCAGGCGAGACGAAAGCUGUACAGGCAACAAAAGCAGCAAGCGUGCAAGGGAUUAAGAAACAACGGUUGCUUUCUGGAUCUGCUAGCUGUAGUACCUGAAGGAGGUACAGUUCUCACCGACGAGGACAUUCGUAGAGAGGUGGACCUCUUCGUGUUCGCCGGCCACGACACCACCACCCAAUCAUUGAUUUUUUUUAAUCCUCUCUAUAAUUUGUCUCUCCCUCCAGGCUCGAGUUCAUGCAGAACUGGAUAGCAUCUUCGAAGGAACAGGACCGUAACCAGCCACCAUGGAUGACAUCCGUCAGAUAAAUACAACUGAGAAACUGCAUCAAGGAGCUCUCAGACUCUCCCGUCUGUUCCUUACUCGUCAGACAACCAGUGAAGAUAUAAACGAUUGUAAUUAUCGCAUCCCCGCCGGUGCCUCAGUCAUGGUGUUCACCUAUGCCCUACACCGUGACCCUGAGCAGUUCCCUGACCCUGAGGUUUUUGACCCUGACCGCUUUCUGCCGGAGAACGCCAGCAAGCGACACCCCUUUGCCUACAACGCCUUCAGCGCCGGACCCAGGAACUGCAUCGGUCAGAAGUUCGGCAUGAUAGAAGAGAAGGUGAUGGUAAGCAGUGUGCUGCGCAAGUUCCGAAUUGAGAGUAUCACUCCAAUGAAGAAACUUAAACUCCUUAGCGAGAUUGUCCUCAGACCCAAGGAUGGCAACCACGUCCGGCUCUUUCCCAGGACAGCAGAGAGCCCGACCUCAGCCAGGGGCAGCAACAGCGUGCAAGACAACAACACCAGGUGUCAGGGUGAAGGUAGUUGAUAAAGACAAUCCUAUGAUGGCUUCAUAACCGGGCGCAACACUCAAGCUGACACGUACCGUCGUCUGUUUCACUGAAGCUUUAUGCAAAGAUACAUACACAUUCUGCAAUGUUAUUUUACAUAUUUUAGAAGCAGAUUACCUAUUUAAAAAUAACUCUGUAUAAAUAUCACUCUUUAGCAA